Molecule: ribosomal RNA, 253 nt
Filed under: uncultured bacterium
Lineage: Bacteria
Description: partial 16S ribosomal RNA
Rfam family: Bacterial small subunit ribosomal RNA
Source: RNAcentral
UACGUAGGGUGCAAGCGUUAAUCGGAAUUACUGGGCGUAAAGGGUGCGCAGGCGGUUAUAUAAGACAGAUGUGAAAUCCCCGGGCUCAACCUGGGAACUGCGUUUGUGACUGCAUGACUAGAGUACGGUAGAGAGGGGUGGAAUUCCUGGUGUAGCAGUGAAAUGCGUAGAGAUGUGGAGGAACACCGAUGGCGAAGGCAGCCCCCUGGGUUAACACUGACGCUCAGGCACGAAAGCGUGGGGAGCAAACAGG